This 908-nucleotide ribosomal RNA is filed under the name Thaxterogaster vibratilis. Its description in RNAcentral is "eukaryotic LSU rRNA". It matches the Rfam family "Eukaryotic large subunit ribosomal RNA", at positions 69 to 961 of the family's 3401-position model. The record is from RNAcentral. Lineage: Eukaryota; Fungi; Basidiomycota; Agaricomycetes; Agaricales; Cortinariaceae.
CAAGGAUUCCCCUAGUAACUGCGAGUGAAGCGGGAAAAGCUCAAAUUUAAAAUCUGACAGUCUUUGGCUGUCCGAGUUGUAAUCUAGAGAAGCAUUAUCCGCGCUGGACCGUGUACAAGUCUCCUGGAAUGGAGCGUCAUAGAGGGUGAGAAUCCCGUCUUUGACACGGACUGCCAGGGCUUUUGUGAUGUGCUCUCAAAGAGUCGAGUUGUUUGGGAAUGCAGCUCAAAAUGGGUGGUAAAUUCCAUCUAAAGCUAAAUAUUGGCGAGAGACCGAUAGCGAACAAGUACCGUGAGGGAAAGAUGAAAAGAACUUUGGAAAGAGAGUUAAACAGUACGUGAAAUUGCUGAAAGGGAAACGCUUGAAGUCAGUCACAUUGGCCAGGGAUCAGCCUUGCUUUUGCUUGGUGUACUUUCUGGUUGAUGGGUCAGCAUCAAUUUUGACUAUUGGAAAAAGAUUAAGGGAAUGUAGCAUCUUCGGAUGUGUUUAUAGCCCUUGGUUGCAUACAAUGGUUGGGAUUGAGGAACUCAGCACGCCGCAAGGCCGGGUUUUUAACCACGUACGUGCUUAGGAUGCUGGCACAAUGGCUUUAAUCGACCCGUCUUGAAACACGGACCAAGGAGUCUAACAUACCUGCAAGUGUUUGGGUGGAAAACCCGAGCGCGUAAUGAAAGUGAAAGUUGAGAUCCCUGUCAUGGGGAGCAUCGACGCCUGGACCAGACCUUUUGUGACGGUUCCACGGUAGAGCAUGUAUGUUGGGACCCGAAAGAUGGUGAACUAUGCCUGAAUAGGGUGAAGCCAGAGGAAACUCUGGUGGAGGCUCGUAGCGAUUCUGACGUGCAAAUCGAUCGUCAAAUUUGGGUAUAGGGGCGAAAGACUAAUCGAACCAUCUAGUAGCUGGUUCCUGC